Molecule: non-coding RNA, 7099 nt
Organism: Leptonychotes weddellii (Weddell seal)
Lineage: Eukaryota; Metazoa; Chordata; Mammalia; Carnivora; Phocidae
Source: RefSeq, a predicted model, not a curated record
UUCAGAUAACAGAUAGCACGUUAAUCCAACUUUCUAUACACUGUCCUCGACUUCAAGUAUUGAGUCUGUCUCACUGUGAGCUGAUCACAGACGAUGGAAUUCGUCACCUGGGGAAUGGGGCCUGCGCCCAUGACCAGCUGGAGGUGAUUGAACUGGACAACUGCCCACUAAUCACAGAUGCUUCCCUGGAGCACUUGAAGAGUUGUCACAGCCUCGAGCGGAUAGAACUCUAUGACUGCCAGCAAAUCACACGGGCUGGGAUCAAGAGACUCAGGACCCAUUUGCCCAAUAUUAAAGUCCACGCCUACUUCGCACCUGUCACUCCACCCCCAUCAGUAGGGGGCAGCAGACAGCGAUUCUGCAGAUGCUGCAUCAUCCUAUGACAAUGGAGGUGGUCAACCUUGGUGAACUGAGUAUUUAAUGACACUUCUAGAGUUACAGUGGAGUCUCCAAUGGAAGCAACCCCAGUGUUCUGGGCAAGGGUUACAAAGUGAGGGCAGCAUCCAGAUCCCCAGAGCCACACAUAACAUGCAAACCCACCCUCACCCCCACCCACUCUAGUUCUGUGACCAGGGGACUGAAGCCCACGCUGGCUUUAUCAAGUGGAUUGGUAAAACUUAACCAUUCCUGUUGGACAUGCCAAGAAGAAAAUCAUAGGCAAGGUGGAGGGAAGGGGGCAUUCCAGCAAAUGCAGAGUUACUGCUCCUGCCGUUUCUUCAUUUUUUGAAGGGGUUUCUUUGGUGAUUUUGGAACAGCAACUGCAGUCCUCCAGGGUCAAGGAAAGCAUAGAAAAACAAGAUAUGUUGUAUCCAGGGACCAGAAAGAAAAAUUCUUUGCAUCCUAUACAUGGUAGCCAUCCCUCAUGAGAUGACUACAGAGCUUCUGUGCUUCCUUGUUCCCAUGCCAACAUGCUGAGCAUGCUCCCAAAGAAGGCUCAUCCAUUCCUCCUCCUGUGUUUUUUAGUAUUUGGCCCAGAGGUUUCCUAAAAGGUUGCACUGAAAUCGCUGUGGUCCAAAUGUGAUUACUUACUCACUCAAAUUGUCACUCUGUAGCACACUUGUGCACCUGUCUUUCGUUCUCUGUUGCUCCCUCCCGCACUCUUGCUCAGUCUGUCACCUGUUCAUUGUGUGCUUACUCACACUCAGUUGUUACUCUUUUGCCAUUGUGUUUACAGUGUGCAUUUUGGAUGAUUAGUUGGGGUUACCAACCAUUUUUAAAAGAGACAUUAUCAAUAAAUAUUUUUUUAAUUCUAAAUUUUACCAUUAGGGGACCCUGCCUGAAUCUUUGCCAGUCUGAAGGGAAACUAUCACAAAACCAAGAAAUGGUAUGAGAAGAAAUUGAGUUAAAAUUGUUUUGACGAAAACAAACUUUGCCUUUGGGUUUCUGUUAUACCUUGUGAUAUAUAAUAAUACGCAUGAUAUGCGCAAUGUUCUCCCUGCACAUUUUUCUUCCCGUCAGACUCCACUAACUUAAUAAGGAGAGAGAAAUGCAUUAUUUGUAAAGAGUGAAAUGGCGAAUCCCAAAACUGAGCCCAAAAGCACCCCCCACCCAAGCUCAGACAUGUCGGAUGUUCACUGAAAUCUAGGUGUGAGCAGUAGCAUCCCUGAUUUGUGUCUGUGAGGUUGUUUUGUUUUAGUAGGAGUGCUGCUAGAGUUGCUGUGCCAUCUAGCUGGUCAGGUUCUCUCCCACCCCCCCACCCCCGUUCCAGCCUGUCAGGAAUAUCAGAAUGAUCCUAGAACAGGUGGUCAGCUGUAUGUCAGUGUUGAUGAUGUAUCUCGAAUGUUGGCACCUCAAAGGACCAGAACCAUUUCAAAACCUAUCAACCCUAUCUUUCUUACGCUCCGGACUUCCCAUGAAUGAAAUACAGGGGUAACCAGGUGAAGACUUUGAGAGGAAGCAGGGGGUUCACUGUCUCUGCCCAGCAUGGUCAGCAGAACUGAAGGCAGGUAUUCAGUGCCCAUGACUCAGAGGCAAAGAAGAGGCUUCCUUCCUUCCCCCGAAAAGUCAUAAAGGAUGAGGGAACUAAAAUGAGCUUCUAAAGUAUAAGAAGUAGAUUUCUAAACCCCAAGGUUAGAAACCUCAUGUGGUUUUUAAUAGGACACUUUUUUUUUUUCCUUUUGGUCUUUUAGGACAUUAUUGUGCAGUCUGCCGUGAUCUUAGAUCAUCUUCUGCAUGAUCCAGGCUGUUAAAAGGCUUGUUGUAAUGCUGCAGGUGCUGGCUCUUCAUAAAGCAUGACUUAGUUCUCCACAAGCAGUUCGAGGAAAGGACACUAGAAAUCUGUACUGUCCACCAUUAUUUUGCAUGUUAAAUUUAUUUUAAACUCUCAAAUUACUUUUAGUUUUCAUUCCCCCUUCCCCUUAACCUCUUUUCAAAUUAUCAUGUGAAGAAUAUACUUAAAUUUCAUUUUUAUUUGAGUAUAGUUGGCAUAAGGAUAUACCUUUUAAAGUGAGACUCACUCUCCUGGUUAUACCCCACACGUACAAAUAUACACACUUGCACACUCUUCCAGAUGUGGUUAAUAUUCAGAUCCCCGGGUCACUCAUUCAAACAAAAGUAAAAAGAGGAAUAUUUAGGGGCCAUCUGCUCUGACAUAUUAAGGCUUUUUUAGUAUUGCCUGAACAAAUUGACUAUAAAACCCUGAUUGAUUAGUGAGUAUGGGUUUAAAUUGCCCACCAGUUGAGGACAUUAAGGUACUUCUUUACUUAAAAAGUACAUAAAUGUAAAAGACCCUAUUCACCAGGACAUGAACAUCUUGGAAAUGCCGUUUCUCAACUCAAAGAGUGGACCCACGUGCAGGGCCCUGUGGACUUGCUCAGGCGAUCCCUACCUGUCUGGGCCAAGAGCACAGUCCAGUGAGAGAAAAAAGGAGUGUGAGCACUGUGCUUGUAUGUGGUCAGGCCUUGCUCCCUUCGCAAGAAAGCUUCAGGCAGGCCCAUCAAGCUUGGAAGGAAAUAGAUUUUUUAUGCCAAUCUGCAACCUACACCAGCUGAUGAAAUGUACCGGGAAUUUAAGAACCCAGAACAUGGUAAGUUUUGGUCAGGUGGAAAGGGCCCCGCCAUCCUGUCUUAAUAUCAGGGAUACUUUUGAAAAUUCAGUAAGGCUUCAGAGUUUAGGAAAGGCUUCUUGGCCCAUUUGUCUGACUCCAGAGCCCCGGCCCUCUACGCCUUCUGUGAUGAAGAAAUACAAAGUGAAUGGAGAGAUUCGGGAUAAGUCAGAAGGUACCCUCAGAGCUAUUGCCUAGACCUGCAGGUAGCCAGGAGGGGUUAUUGCUAUGUCUGUGGAGAACGUUAUUAAACAUCCAGAUCACCUCUUUUCCAAGCAGCCUUUCCCCCUACAUUUUCCAGCAUCAUUUGCUACAUCAGUAUCUUUUCUGGCCUCUAUACUGGCUCCAUCAAGGUGAUCCCAGCUUCUUCUUUUUUUUUUUUUGGACUGCUCCCAUUUUCUUCCUGUACUCAUUCUUGUCUUCUAUUUAAAGCCUCCGUCUCACUCCCAAUGAUGCUGCUGAUUUAUUCUCAAUGUCUCCAGUCUAGCUUCCUUUUUGGGUCCUUGUUCUGAUCUAAGCAAAGUCUCUGGGCAGCCUUGAAUACAGUAACUGUUGUGUGGUUCAGGCCAUUUUUCACCGGGUGGUCUUGGACGUUUGCUUACCAAAUUUGAAAUCACGCUGUUGGAUAUGUAAGAAUAUUUCUUAAAUGGUUUUUGUAAAUUUCCACAUCCAUUAAGUUGAUGUAGCAGACCUAUAAGUCAGAAAUUUUACAUUUUCUUUACAGCACAUAUUUUAGAGGGACACCUGGCAAAUAUUUUUAUGAUGCUUUAUUUUGGGCUUUCCAAACCAUUUGAACUGUUGAGUACAGCUCUAAUGCUACAGCAGUCGGGUUCUUUAUUUCUCCUAAUUGCCUUGUAAAAUGCUUUGUUACCGGUUUGAUGGCCCACUCAUGCCGUGGGGGGUAAACAGGGUACGCGGGAACUUGUCCUGGUCUGAAGUUGUAGGGAAGUGUGAGAGUGGCACCGGAAGGAAGACGGGGCUGCCUGCCUGCCUGUGUGGACAGCGUAUGUUCAGGGAACUGUGGUUUUGAAGAAGAGGAACACUUGUGGAUCGUGGUUGACCCUUGGCCGUUUAAUGUUUAUUGUGCUGAAAGUCACAGGCUCCUUAUGACAGGUGCUACCAGUGUGAGAGGAGGGACUUAAAGGAAAUGGGUCUGUUCUGCCUUUCCCUCCUUGUGUGCAUGGUCUAAGAUUAGGUUUCCAUCCCCAUUGUGCAUCCUGGCUGAGGGACUUUCAGUGGUAUUCUUUGAGCUUCCGGAACUUUUUUUUUUUUUUUUUAAGAUUGCCUUCUUAUGUGUCCACCAGUUCUAGGAUCUUUAACCACCUCAAACCCAGGCAGUGUGAAUGAGCUGAGACUUGUUUGAGACGAGGGGGAGGACGUUUGGUUGGAGGUCUUGAGGCAAACCCUCCCCUUUACAAUGAUCUUGGACCAAAGAACCCUAAAGCAGUAGGAGGGUGAGGGGAAAUAUGGAGUCUAAGCUUCUCGUCACCUUUAUUUCUAUCAUAAACUUUAAUAGUAAUAUUGGAAGAUACAGAAAACUAUAUAAUACCAUGUCAGUUGGCUAUAAUUAACCCAGGUAAUUUGGGAAUAACAUUUGGCUCUAUUUGCUAUAUCCAGGUGCCCUAACUGAACAGUUUGGUUCUCCAGCAAAGAACAUGCUGCUCUAAGCUUGCCCUCUCACUUGAGACAAACUCUACUUGCCAGAAACUACCAUUUGAGGCAAGUGCUUUUUCUGCAUGAAGGGCUUCUGCAGCUCCCCCUCACAAGGCAAGUCUCUCUCUUUGUCCAUUUUUAUUCUUAGGAACAUCAGAUCUGCAUCUCUGAAGGCUUUGACCCUUAGGAAAGUCCAUAAGAACCUCUCAGCUGAGUCUGAGUGAAUCUUUGGAGCCCAACAGAAUUACACUUAAUUUUCAGCAGGAAAAAAAAAAUGUCUUGGGUAAGCUCACAUGUGGGAUAUUAAGAGAAAUUCCAUAAUGUGCUUCUUCCAUCUCUGCCUCAUGCGUUUUUUGAGUAAGCCCCCGGUGGAGUCUGGUUCGCAGGUGUUGAGUACCUCCUCAGCCAAGGUGUCUCACUGCCCUUUUAGGAAAAAGAAACAUGAGCAACCAGAACUGUGUCAAUGGACUCUUAUUUUCUGUGUUUUUCAGUGUCUUGUUUUGAAGAAUUGGGGUGGGGAAAUGGUAAUGAGAUUGAAAGUAAAGGAGAGAAUCGGCUCUGGAACUGGGGCACUUUGCUUCAGGUACAAGCAUCUGUCCCGAAUAUAUAGAAACACCUGCCUCACGCAUGUGACUAGAUUUGCUUUCCUCUGCAUCCCGUGAACUCCAUGCCCUUCUCACCGGCACGGAGGGCUUCUGCCUACCACGCACCCGACCAGUCACCCAGAUGGGGAUUGGCACCCCCCAAAGAACCCCCAGUGCUUCUGGGUGUGGCUCCCCCCACCCAGGGCAGGAGCAGGUAGGCAGUGAGUGAGAAUCCCCACCCCAAGAAGAGAUGGGAGAGGAGAGGUGUCCAGACACAUACCUUUUCUCUUCUGCCACACCCCAAGAACCCAGGGAAAUCUUUGAAGUGAUAUCUUAUUUAUUGAAGUGGAAGAAGAAAUCUUUGCCCCACGACGAAGUUCCGCUUGUCACUGUUGCUUACUGCUUAUUUUCACUAAUUCAAAUCUGUGUCUCACUGCUGCUCACACACGUGUUUCUUACCUUAGCCUAACCCUUCUCAGCCCCUGAAGUCAUUAUUUCUGUGUUGUUUUUCUUUCUUUCUUUCUUCCUUUUUUUUUUCUUAUGGCACUAGUGAACGACAACCGAAAGUCUUAGAAAAUCCUAACUUGAAAAAGGAGUCUCUAACUGGCAUGGUUUGAUUAAUUACUUUACCCCCCCCACACACACACCCCCAAAGACUUGAAUGAUUUUCUUUCCUAGAGCUAUAUAAUAGACCUGUAAAAAGUGAAACCUUUGCUGCUGCUUUUCUGGGUUUACAUGUUUUUUCCUGCCCUUAAGAAUCUUACCUGUGCUUCUCUGAUGACUGUUACUUUCUAAUAAGUGCAGGAAGGAGGUGAGCCUGAGAUUUCUUCUCUUACUCCCCUCCUCACCCUACCCCCAAACUCCAUGCUAACCUCUAACACGUAAGCUCUGUGGGGCGGGGCUCAGGAGCUGCGUGGGGGGUCUUUUCUCCCCCUGCCGUGGCUCUGCUCUCGCAGCCGGCCCCUGAGGAUCUGUGACUGCCCAGUCUGAAGGCUUGGAAGGGUUACGGCCAGGUGAUCGGCCCGGGGGAGAAAGUCCUCUUCUGCCUUUUGCCUUCUUCCAUUCCUGUUUAAUGACUCAGCCUUCAGCUGCCUCCCACCCUGGCUGCCUCCUUUUUCCUACCAGGAAUUGCUUCCAGGUAACUUGCCUCAGGCAGUUUCCGGCUGCUCUCCUCAGCCUUGCCCACCUUCCCGUGACCCUGAGAGCACAGAUCUGUGCGGAGCUCAGCUGGGAGGACCACCCCUGCCUGUCAGACUCUGCCCGAGGAUGGAGAUGGGUGGGCAAAUGGUGCUGCGGGAGAAAUUUUUACCUUCAAACCAGGCUGUUCCAUCCCUGCACUAACCCCCUCGGACCCCUCUCCCCGUGAGGAAACAGAAGGCAGAGGAUGGUUGACUGGCAGGGUCUGAUCCCAAACCUUGCUGUGGCCUCAGCCUCCUGCAGCCAUUCGGCCUGCCCCGGAGUGCUUCAGUGUGCGGGAGCUGCUGCUGACUUGUUUCUCCACCAGGCCUGCCCCCCCGCGCUCAGCCGCUCCCUGGGCUGACCCGGUCCCCGACUCGGUGACUGAACACCAGGCUCCAUUAGUUGUCCAAGUGACUGCUUCCACCCAAUACUUUUGGCGCUUGAGGAUGGGGGGAGGGAGGGUUAUUUAAAAUAAAAUCCAAGGUGGCAGUAGAGGAUUCCUUUUGCUUUAAAAUCUUUGGACUAAAAGAAAAAUGUUUUUUAUAUAUAAAUAUAUAAAGUAAAUUGUUAUGUAACUAUUACUGUUUCCUGUAUGUUCUAAUUUUGUUUUAUGAUGUAAUUAAAGGAAAUAAGCUGUGAA